GAUGAUGAUGACUCCAAGAGUCAAGAUAAGAUUGAGGGAGCAUUUGGCAGGCAGCGGACGACCACUGCAACGGUUGUGGUGGUGGGGGCUGCUGGGGGUUCAGGUGUCUCCUCUGGCAUUCAGGAUCUAAGUGCUUCCAGUGGUCAAACAGCAGGGGGAAGAACACAUGAAGGAACAGCAGGAAGCUCAGCAGGUUCUGCAGCAGCUGAGAUCUCUGAUGUCUCCACAGCUUUGAUCCAUUCUGCAGGAGCCAAGCACUCUACUGCUUUAUCUCACACAGAAACAAAUGGUUCUGCAGGAGCUGGCUCAGAGACCAACAGUAAUGGACAGAAGCUCCUGAAUGGAGGAGGAGGGGGUGG
Molecule: long non-coding RNA, 359 nt
Organism: Oreochromis aureus
Lineage: Eukaryota; Metazoa; Chordata; Actinopteri; Cichliformes; Cichlidae
Exons: 8
Source: RefSeq, a predicted model, not a curated record